GACGAAGGUGGCAAGCGUUGUUCGGAUUCACUGGGCAUAAAGGGCGCGUAGGCGGUUCCGAAAGUGGCGUGUGAAAUCCCCCGGCUCAACCGGGGAAGUGCGCGCCAAACUUCGGUGCUAGAGGGCGGUAGGGGGGACUGGAACUCCGAGUGUAGAGGUGAAAUUCGUAGAUAUUCGGAAGAACACCAGUGGCGAAGGCGGCUCACUGGUCCGGUACUGACGCUGAGGUGCGAAAGCGUGGGGAGCGAACAGG
This 253-nucleotide ribosomal RNA is filed under the name uncultured bacterium. RNAcentral describes it as "partial 16S ribosomal RNA". It matches the Rfam family "Bacterial small subunit ribosomal RNA", at positions 524 to 776 of the family's 1533-position model. The record is from RNAcentral.